AUGCGAUAAGUAAUGUGAAUUGCAGAAUUCAGUGAAUCAUCGAAUCUUUGAACGCACAUUGCGCCCGCCAGUAUUCUGGCGGGCAUGCCUGUUCGAGCGUCAUUUCAACCAUCAAGCCCCCGGCUUGUGUUGGGGACCUGCGGCUGCCGCAGGCCCUGAAAAGCAGUGGCGGGCUCGCUAGUCACACCGAGCGUAGUAGAUUUCAUCUCGCUCAGGGCGUGCUGCGGGUUCCGGCCGUUAAACCACCUUCAUAACCCAAGGUUGACCUCGGAUCAGGUAGGAAGACCCGCUGAACUUAA
RNAcentral lists this unclassified non-coding RNA (299 nucleotides) under uncultured Chaetomium. Its description in RNAcentral is "partial contains 5.8S ribosomal RNA, internal transcribed spacer 2, and large subunit ribosomal RNA". The stretch from base 1 to 102 matches the Rfam family "5.8S ribosomal RNA", at positions 53 to 154 of the family's 154-position model. The record is from RNAcentral. Lineage: Eukaryota; Fungi; Ascomycota; Sordariomycetes; Sordariales; Chaetomiaceae.